UACAGAGACUGCAAGCGUUAUUCGGAUUCACUGGGCGUAAAGGGUGCGCAGGCGGUCGGGUGUGUCAGAUGUGAAAUCCCGAGGCUCAACCUCGGAACUGCGUCUGGAAACUACUCGACUAGAGUACUGGAGAGGGUAACGGAAUUCACGGUGUAGCAGUGAAAUGCGUAGAUAUCGUGAGGAACACCAGAGGCGAAGGCGGUUACCUGGACAGUUACUGACGCUCAGGCACGAAAGCAUGGGGAGCAAAAGGG
This 254-nucleotide ribosomal RNA is filed under the name uncultured bacterium. RNAcentral's name for it is "partial 16S ribosomal RNA". It matches the Rfam family "Bacterial small subunit ribosomal RNA", at positions 524 to 776 of the family's 1533-position model. The record is from RNAcentral.